GGCUCAGGACGAACGCUGGCGGCGUGCUUAACACAUGCAAGUCGAACGAUGAAGCCCUUCGGGGUGGAUUAGUGGCGAACGGGUGAGUAACACGUGGGCAAUCUGCCCUUCACUCUGGGACAAGCCCUGGAAACGGGGUCUAAUACCGGAUAACACUCUGUCCCGCAUGGGACGGGGUUGAAAGCUCCGGCGGUGAAGGAUGAGCCCGCGGCCUAUCAGCUUGUUGGUGGGGUGAUGGCCUACCAAGGCGACGACGGGUAGCCGGCCUGAGAGGGCGACCGGCCACACUGGGACUGAGACACGGCCCAGACUCCUACGGGAGGCAGCAGUGGGGAAUAUUGCACAAUGGGCGAAAGCCUGAUGCAGCGACGCCGCGUGAGGGAUGACGGCCUUCGGGUUGUAAACCUCUUUCAGCAGGGAAGAAGCGAAAGUGACGGUACCUGCAGAAGAAGCGCCGGCUAACUACGUGCCAGCAGCCGCGGUAAUACGUAGGGCGCAAGCGUUGUCCGGAAUUAUUGGGCGUAAAGAGCUCGUAGGCGGCUUGUCACGUCGGAUGUGAAAGCCCGGGGCUUAACCCCGGGUCUGCAUUCGAUACGGGCUAGCUAGAGUGUGGUA
Molecule: ribosomal RNA, 615 nt
Filed under: Actinomycetales bacterium A259
Lineage: Bacteria; Bacillati; Actinomycetota; Actinomycetes; Actinomycetales
Description: bacterial SSU rRNA
Rfam family: Bacterial small subunit ribosomal RNA
Source: RNAcentral